Prosopis cineraria is the source of this 523-nucleotide long non-coding RNA. RefSeq lists it as uncharacterized. NCBI's taxonomy places the organism in Eukaryota, Viridiplantae, Streptophyta, Magnoliopsida, Fabales, Fabaceae. The record is from RefSeq and is a predicted model, not a curated record. The transcript is spliced from 3 exons.
UAUACUUAUUUUCUGUUUCGUGUGCAGCAAUAUUUGUCAGAAAUGAGAGGUCCGUCUAGAAAACACAACAGCUCCCAAUCAACAGAUCAACUCUGAGCUCCAACUGAGCCAACAAGUCCUUCAGGCGUCAAUCCUGGUUCUCUCAAUGCAAUUUCUUCCUUUCUUGUCCAUUUAACAUCAAGCAUUGUUUUCCCUUACAUGUAUUUCCAUAAUUUUAAUUAGGACAAAUGAACAAUCCUGCUAUGAAGCCUGUACUGCAGAAGAAGAGAGUAGCUAGACAGAUGAGGCAUGAUAAUGAUAACACUGCAUUUCAGGAACCCAGUGCUAUUGUUCACGUACUUUGUUGAGGCUGGGGCAUUUGCUGUAAGGCGAGUGUGGAAAAAGGAUACGUGCCAUGUUGCCAAGGCGAAUAGGGAACUGGUGUUACUUUGGCUUUUAUGAUUUAUGACAUCGGCGUUUGCUCAUGCAGUACCAAAUAUACCCUUGAGAUUUCGUGGCUCAUUAUUUAUAUGACAUAUCGUGG